AGGGACGAAGGCUUUGUGUAACAAACAGGAUUAGAUACCCUAGUAGUUGAAGCAGAAAAUGAUGAAUGUCAUAGAUUAGACGUCUAAGUUUAUUCUAUAAAUGAAAGUGUAAGCAUUCCACCUCAUGAGUAAUUUGGCAACAUUGGAAUUGAAAUCAUUAGACCGUUUCUGAAACCAGUAGUGAAGUAUGUUGUUUAAUUUGAUAAUACGCAAAAAACCUUACCACAAUUUGAAUAUUUAUAUUUAACAUAUAUCUACAAGCGUUGCACGGCUGUCUUCAGUUAAUGUCGUGAGAUUGGUUAGUUCCAUUAAAUUAACGUAAACCCUGCUUUAUUUUUUAUAUAGAGUAGUUCCCCGCUAUAUUGGAU
RNAcentral lists this ribosomal RNA (368 nucleotides) under Parmotrema tinctorum. Its description in RNAcentral is "partial 28S ribosomal RNA". It matches the Rfam family "Bacterial small subunit ribosomal RNA", at positions 749 to 1142 of the family's 1533-position model. The record is from RNAcentral. Lineage: Eukaryota; Fungi; Ascomycota; Lecanoromycetes; Lecanorales; Parmeliaceae.